UCAGAAAAAAAGGUCUCGGGGAAUCUGACAUUGCAGAAUUUCCCAAAAGGAAAAGUUCUGAAAGUUAGAGGUCUCUUGGCGACACCGCCACACAGCGAGCUCUGUUACCAAGCCCCAGAUUUUUCCCUCACAGUCGUUAGUGCUUCCAUCACUAAUUGAAACCAAAGCACAGGCAACCGCUGAGGAAAAAUCGCCAGCGUGUUAGAGACUGGAAAGUAGCCGAGGUGACACCGUGAGUAGCCAGGCAGGAAGGGCCCUUAAGAAGAAAAUUGAGGCCACUUCUGAGGGAGACAAUGCAUUCGUAAAACAAACCGCCAGGCACAGCGAGGGAGACUACUCAAAGGACAAGACAACUUCAGAAAGCCUGCAAUUAAUAAAAUUUGUAAAUGACGUUCUGUAUAUAAUCAGAUUCUUCUGGUAACUUGAAUUAAAAAGUAUCAAUGUGGAGACUAGCUGAGGAAUUAUUUUAAAAAUAAAAUUAGAAGAUCAAACUCUCAGCUCUUACAUGUGGUUAAUACUUUUCUCAGAAAUAGAAGACAGAGAAGAUGAAGAAGAAGAAAAAAACUAUCAAAGACAUGAUGAAAUUCUUCUAGAAUUUAAAACCGAAGAAGAAAUCACACAGAGAAGGAAUAAAAUCCACAGCAUCUUUCUGGCAGUCCCCAUCACGGGCUCUGCCAAGAGUUCUGGUUGCAAAACAUUGCUUUUAUAACAACAAUCAACUUCAUAAAUGGCAGAAACAUGGACUUGUUUGCUCCUGGGAGACUUUAUUAUUCAUGCAGACUUGUAUUCAAAUACAGAAGCUCCAAAGAUACUUGAGGAGAAAAGAUCCCAAGGAGAGACAAUCAAUAGAAGUGAUUUUGCAAAAUGAACUUAAAGGAUUCUUGUUCUUAGACCCAAAGGCUGGGUCUGGGCAAAGGUAUGACAUGGUCUCAUGAGACUCAAUCAAGUGAAUGAAAUUGGGACUAGAGCCUGCUGGAUACUAUCCAGUGCGUGCGAGGAAGAUGUCGGAGAUGCUUGGGGAUGAGCUCACCCCGAAACCUACACACAGACACCAUCCUGGUAGAUCCACUCUGCAAGCGUUGCUCUCCCUGCGGCAGGACUGACUGGAUCCAGGGGACACCACAGCAGAGGAGCAGAGGAGCGUCUGCUUUGAAGAGAAAACAGACUUUUUAUUAGAAGUCACUGGAAAGAAGUUACCUUUGCCUCUAAGAAGGCUGGGAUGACACUCAAUAAAAUCCAACUGUCUGCAUGUGCCAUAUUUUCACUUUCCAUUCACCAGUCAAUAGACAUCUAGGCUGAUGUGACUUCCUCCAGAAUAUAGAAAACUACAGCAACCAUGAACGCUACAUUUUCUUCGCUGUGGCAAGUCCGAUGGUUUUUCUCAUCCCUGGGAUUUCAGAUACUGUGAAUGUAAUGUUGCUGGAUGGAUGGCUGUUUGCUUUCCUUUAAAUAAUCUUGAGUUUGCUCUGACUAACAAGCUAGUUGCUUUUCCACCUGAUUCUAUCCAGACUGGUCUCAGCUUUUCUAUACACAGCUCCACUGCAGGGGCUGCUCGAGUUUACUAAGGGAUGCCCUGCGAACUUGACCAAAUACCUUGAGUGACCAACGAGAGCUUCCUGGCUAAAUGGCUAAUGGUUUAGCUGUGCCCUGCUCUGAGAACUGGCAAGUCCCCGCCCAUGCUAUGUUCUGGCUUGUGGGAUCUUUUAUCCCACGUGUGCUCAGUCUAAUAGUUUGCAAAGACACCCGACUUAUCCUGUGCAGACUGCGGUAGCUCCAUUUUGCACAGUGUUCUCUUUCAGAAGGCGCACAUCUUAAGUUCCAGUCUCCUUCUCAGUAAACCUACUGUACUUGGGUUGAGUCUUUUCCUGCAUUUUGGCCUGAAAACUGUGUGAACCAGCCAAGGGGGAGACCAUUUUGCACGUUUUUAUCAUUUGCUGUGAUAAUUAACAUGCCAAUAACGCCACGGAAGCUUUGGAAACAAGGCGGAUCGUGCCCGGAUGUCUGAGCAGCAUGCAACUCGGGAAGCCCCGUAGAAAGAUAAUCUGGUUCAUCGAAGUUGCAAUUCACUGUCCACAAGCACUGGAGUGGACACUGACGCUACAGGCCUGCCAGGCUGCACAAACGUCAGGUCAAGUACCCAUCCUGGAUCCUGUUGGAAAUGAGGAGCAUGUAAUGAAUUUGAGCUCAGGCGUUCCUCCUCCCAAGCUAGUCUGGAGAGGAAUAAGGACAAUUACAGGAGAGAUGGCCCAACACGCCCUGCUCCCCUUCUCCUAUCCCCUAUACACCAACAGCCUUCAGUUAAAAUGCAGACAGUUCUGGUAGGGAAUGAGCUGGGACUGAGAUGUGAAAUGACUACCAGCUGAAAGCAGGGUCUAUGUGGAUGUGAUGCUGACGAUGGAGGUGGAGGUCGUCUGCAAGACAUGAACCCACAUCUAAUAAGACCCAGACCAGCACCCACGACCAGGGUGCUCAGUAGCACACCGUAACCUCCCUCUCAGUGGCUUUGGGUAGCCUCAGUUCUUCAACCCGGAGAGGACAUCUGCCCAAACAAUGCGAUGGGUGUUUGACCAGGUUUAUAGUACCAAACAUGAAUUCCAACUCUGGAGCGGACCUCAAAUCCAAUCUGAAAGCCAUUCCAUGACCGCAACAGUAGGGAUGUCCUGCCAGACAGAUCGAUACUGAAGCAAGCAGGGUUCACCCCAGGGUGGAAGAUUUAAAGUCUAAACUUGCCAUUCACAAAACAGAACCUAAUCAGAGAAACAAAGGCACCGAGACACUCAUCGCCCAAACAGGACAACAGAAAGGAAACUUCAUCAAGAGGGAGCCAUGUUGGGUACUGAGACAAAGAAGGCUGCUGAGAGAAAGCAUGAACACACAGCCUCGUUAAAAAGUUUUAACCCACCACUUCUUAGGAGGACACAAUUAUAUAUAGUGAUUAUUAUGGAUUAUAACCAUUUCUGCCUCUGCUUUAGGGUUCUAUAUGCGUCUUGUCUUUUUCAAAUUAAGGCAUAAUUUGAGACCAACAUUUUCAUACUUAUUUAAUAGCCCUUUCUAAAGUCUAUCUAGAAGUGUGUGUGUGUGUGUGUGUGUGUGUGUGUGUGUGUGUGUGUGUGUGUGUCAUAGCUAAAGACUGGUUUAUGAUAAUGUAGAAAAGAACAGUAAGAAAAGUAGAAAAGUCCUGGUCCAAUUUAUAGUGUUUUGAUGGUGAUUAUUUAUCAAUACUUUGAGUUCCUCGUUGUGAAAUGAAAAGUGAAAGGAAUUCAAACACUUGACAUGCAAACACACUUCCACUUGCCACUAACUAUUAUUAGUUAGUAAUAGUUUCCAGGACUUACAGAUCCCUGGAAAAUUAAUUAGUGACUUUAUUCAGCAAAGAAUAAUAAUUUGUUUAUGUGUGAAAUUUCUAAUAUGGGUUGUUAUCCAUUAUCGCAGCAGAAGCUGACCAAUUAAUUUUCCAGGAGCUGUCUGGAGCGGUUUUAUAUUGGGGAUGUCUAUACAAAGCCAUGAUUUACUACAAAGUGUCAGUCAACUCAGAGCAAAAAAAAUAUUAAUCAAAGUGAAUGUUUGACAGCAUUAAGACGAAUCAGCCACUGGUUGAAUUUUUUCAGCCAUUUAUUCUGGUUUUAUGUAGGUAUAGAAAUAUACAAACAUGU
Non-coding RNA from Rattus norvegicus (Norway rat), 3653 nucleotides. Lineage: Eukaryota; Metazoa; Chordata; Mammalia; Rodentia; Muridae. The record is from RefSeq and is a predicted model, not a curated record.